AAGUGUUCUGAAGUUUUUGCCUUGCAGUCAUUUCAACAAGAACCAGCUUUCAGGCGAAAUUCCUGAAAAGCUUUUUAGCUCGGACAUGUCUCUAAUACAUGUACUGUUUGAUGGGAAUCAAUUGAAAGGGAACAUUCCAUCUACCAUAGCAGAGGUUCGGACACUAGAGGUUCUUCGACUUGAUCGAAAUGGCCUGACAGGAAAUGUCACGUCAAACCUCAACCAUCUCGCAAAUAUCACUGAAUUGUGGGUAUACCUUUUCAAUC
Long non-coding RNA from Olea europaea var. sylvestris, 266 nucleotides. RefSeq lists it as uncharacterized. The record is from RefSeq and is a predicted model, not a curated record. The transcript has 3 exons. Lineage: Eukaryota; Viridiplantae; Streptophyta; Magnoliopsida; Lamiales; Oleaceae.